RNAcentral lists this ribosomal RNA (1346 nucleotides) under uncultured bacterium. RNAcentral describes it as "partial 16S ribosomal RNA". It matches the Rfam family "Bacterial small subunit ribosomal RNA", at positions 28 to 1381 of the family's 1533-position model. The record is from RNAcentral.
GACGAACGCUGGCGGCGUGCUUAACACAUGCAUUUCGAACGGAAAGGCCCUGCUUUUGUGGGGUGCUCGAGUGGCGAACGGGUGAGUAACACGUGAGUAACCUGCCCUUGACUUUGGGAUAACUUCAGGAAACUGGGGCUAAUACCGGAUAGGAGCUCCUGCUGCAUGGUGGGGGUUGGAAAGUUUCGGCGGUUGGGGAUGGACUCGCGGCUUAUCAGCUUGUUGGUGGGGUAGUGGCUUACCAAGGCUUUGACGGGUAGCCGGCCUGAGAGGGUGACCGGCCACAUUGGGACUGAGAUACGGCCCAGACUCCUACGGGAGGCAGCAGUGGGGAAUAUUGCACAAUGGGCGGAAGCCUGAUGCAGCAACGCCGCGUGCGGGAUGACGGCCUUCGGGUUGUAAACCGCUUUCGCCUGUGACGAAGCGUGAGUGACGGUAAUGGGUAAAGAAGCACCGGCUAACUACGUGCCAGCAGCCGCGGUGAUACGUAGGGUGCGAGCGUUGUCCGGAUUUAUUGGGCGUAAAGGGCUCGUAGGUGGUUGAUCGCGUCGGAAGUGUAAUCUUGGGGCUUAACCCUGAGCGUGCUUUCGAUACGGGUUGACUUGAGGAAGGUAGGGGAGAAUGGAAUCCCUGGUGGAGCGGUGGAAUGCGCAGAUAUCAGGAGGAACACCAGUGGCGAAGGCGGUUCUCUGGGCCUUUCCUGACGCUGAGGAGCGAAAGCGUGGGGAGCGAACAGGCUUAGAUACCCUGGUAGUCCACGCUGUAAACGGUGGGUACUAGGUGUGGGGUCCAUUCCACGGGUUCCGUGCCGUAGCUAACGCUUUAAGUACCCCGCCUGGGGAGUACGGCCGCAAGGCUAAAACUCAAAGGAAUUGACGGGGCCCCGCACAAGCGGCGGAGCAUGCGGAUUAAUUCGAUGCAACGCGUAGAACCUUACCUGGGUUUGACAUGGAUCGGGAGUGCUCAGAGAUGGGUGUGCCUCUUUUGGGGUCGGUUCACAGGUGGUGCAUGGCUGUCGUCAGCUCGUGUCGUGAGAUGUUGGGUUAAGUCCCGCAACGAGCGCAACCCUUGUUCACUGUUGCCAGCACGUUAUGGUGGGGACUCAGUGGAGACCGCCGGGGUCAACUCGGAGGAAGGUGGGGAUGACGUCAAGUCAUCAUGCCCCUUAUGUCCAGGGCUUCACGCAUGCUACAAUGGCUGGUACAGAGAGUGGCGAGCCUGUGAGGGUGAGCGAAUCUCGGAAAGCCGGUCUCAGUUCGGAUUGGGGUCUGCAACUCGACCUCAUGAAGUCGGAGUCGCUAGUAAUCGCAGAUCAGCAACGCUGCGGUGAAUACGUUCCCGGGGCU